UAACAAGUAAUUGUGAUAUAUAUUGUCACAUUAAAUGGUUGUAAUUAUUUUAUUAUUUUUUUGGUCUUAUUUCAGAUAUGGCAGAAUAGGGACAAGUUUGAAUUACUCCAAAUGAGAGUUCUCGAAAUUAAGGAUGAAAAUAACGUCGAAGAAUACGCCGUCGCAAAACUUAUUUCCGUAAUGAUUCAGACAAACCAUCAAGAAUAUCCCAAUCUUGAUACAUGAUUGGUAUAGUCAAGAAAAUAUGACGAAAGAAUCAGAAUGUUUCUAGCAAUGUAUAAUAUCAUCUACAAUCUAAUAGUAUAAUAUACAAUAAUAUGAUAUUAGGAUAGUACUGCAACGAGGACAAUCCUUUGUAUAAAUAAAUAUGAUACGGUUUAUCUGUUGUAUCUAUUGCUUUAGAUCAAGUCAAAAACAGCAAGAAAAUUAGGAGUAUUUAUAAUAACUUGAUAUUUGGUAUACUUAAAAUAUAUAAUAAAGAACUAUACUUUACUUCA
This 497-nucleotide long non-coding RNA is filed under the name Nicotiana benthamiana. RNAcentral describes it as "long non-coding RNA (NBEN_LNC041894)". The record is from RNAcentral. Lineage: Eukaryota; Viridiplantae; Streptophyta; Magnoliopsida; Solanales; Solanaceae.